GGAGUCGGCCAGGCGGUCGCUGCCGGCAACGGCGGAGGAAAGUCCGGGCAGCAUAGGGCAAGACGCCAGGUAACCCCUGGGGGGCGCGAGCCUACGGAAAGUGCCACAGAAAAUAUACCGCCCCUCACCUAGUCACUAGGUGAGGGGUAAGGGUGAAAUGGUGCGGUAAGAGCGCACCGCGCAACCGGCAACGGUUGUGGCAGGGUAAACCCCGUCCGCUGCAAGACCAAAUAGGGGAAUGAGCAGCUCGCUGCGACCUGCGGCCCGCAGGAUUCCCGGGUAGGUUGCUUGAGGCCUGUGGUGACGCAGGUCCCAGAUGAAUGACCGUCCACGACAGAACCCGGCUUAUCGGCCGACUCCACCC
RNAcentral lists this RNase P RNA (364 nucleotides) under Magnetovirga frankeli. Its description in RNAcentral is "gamma proteobacterium SS-5 Bacterial RNase P class A". It matches the Rfam family "Bacterial RNase P class A". Rfam says of the family: Ribonuclease P (RNase P) is a ubiquitous endoribonuclease, found in archaea, bacteria and eukarya as well as chloroplasts and mitochondria. Its best characterised activity is the generation of mature 5'-ends of tRNAs by cleaving the 5'-leader elements of precursor-tRNAs. The record is from Rfam by way of RNAcentral. Lineage: Bacteria; Pseudomonadati; Pseudomonadota; Gammaproteobacteria; Chromatiales; Sedimenticolaceae.